CGACAAAAGGAUUUCCUGAUUUAUCCACCAUUUCAAAAAAAGGUAAUAUUUUUCCUUUGCUGGUCUAAACGUUUAUGGAUUGUUCUUGAUGCUGUUUGUUUUUAGUAAAUGGAAAAGCAAAUAGCUGGUCUAGAGGCUUCUUGCUCUCCCCUCUCAGCAUUCUAGAAUCCAGAUCCGCUCUGUAAAAUGUGCAAAAUGUUGCUUGCAUAGCCGUUGCUCUGGCCUAUGCCUAAGCUCUACAAAUUUUUUGAUGACCAUGAAAAAGUUUUACUUCACACAUGUUGAUGUUGAUGAGGAGCUGGAAUAGAUAUUGUUUAAUAAUUAUGAAUCUGUUUACUAGAAAAUAAAAGUCAGAUUGAAGGCUAUUUGUCAUUGGAACAAAUCAUUAGUAAGCGACUGGAGGUUUUUUUGAGCCAGGGACUGUACUAUUUGCUUAAAUUUGCUAACUCAUUUAAAUGUCAUAGACACCCUGCGAAGUAGGUCAUAAGAGCCCCAUUUUAUCGAGAAGGAAAUCAAGGCUCAAAGAGAUUAAGUAAUUUCUGAACGCAGUGAUACAUCCUGGUUGAACAACUAGGAUUUCUUCUCAUUUUUUCUCUUAACAGGUCCGAAGAAAAUGAAGGAGCCUCUUCCUGUACUCAUGGUACAUAAGGUAUGUCAGUAUUGUACACAUAAAUAGCAUACAUCUUCUGCCACGAGCCGAGAAUUCCUUGGCAAAUCCUCCUCAUUGAUAAUAAUUUUGAUUAUGUCCUUAGGUCUUGUGCUAAAUAUUUUUCACAUCUUAUCACAUUUCAGCCUUGCAGUAAUCCUAAAGGUAGGAUCAUAAGCCCCAUUUUACAGGUGAGAAAUGAGACAGUUUCUGCUUGCCCAAAUUUAUACACACAUGUAUCUCUUUGACUCCCUAGCCUGCGUCCUUCUCUAUAUAUCAUAUAGGCGUCAACAAUAGAUGUUUUCCUCAAGGGAGUAGUCUCCUCAGAAAUUGAAAUCAUUGGUGCCAUAAGCAAUACCGAAACGGGAAAGGUUCCCUUGUCCCGCUUGCAGGACGUGUGAUGGGGUAGUGGUUGGCUUCUUCAGUGCCCUGCUGGUGAAACCUCUAGGGGAGCAUACAGAUGGGCAGGCUGUGGGGCUCCGAUCCCAGGGCAGUGUCUAGGGAUGAAUGUUCACAGCUCCUCAAGC
This 1173-nucleotide long non-coding RNA is filed under the name Homo sapiens (human). RNAcentral describes it as "HSALNT0146856". Lineage: Eukaryota; Metazoa; Chordata; Mammalia; Primates; Hominidae. The record is from RNAcentral.